AGAAAACUAUUCUGCUGGAAAAUUGUUGACCUGCUCUAUUGGCGGCUGAUCAUUCAGCAAUACUGCUGAACGUUGUGCUUUAAAAUAAAUAAAUCAAACAAACCCUAUUCUUCCCAAAUUAGGAGUUUAGUGCUUUUCCUCUUACAUUACAAGCAUAACUUGUCCCUAUUCACCUUCACAUCACUCAUGAUGGCCCAGACCUCUACCUUUUUCCCCUUCAGUCUUGUCCUUUGCAGGUAAAAGCCCUAAACUUAUUUAGCUUUUUCUUCUGCAGAGGCCAGCCCUUACGUCUAACAAUCUCUUUUGCCUUCUCCACACCCUCUGUUGUUCUCCUAUGGUAUUUCUGCAAGGGGCAAUCAGACCUGCAGGCAGGAUUUGAGGUGUGGGGAUUUAGCGCUGGCAUAGCAAUGCUUCUUGUUCUCAGAGCCUUUCUUCACUCUCCCCAUGGCUAUGAGAAUGGUGCCAACACUUGGAGCAGCUGCAAAGGUGCCAGAACAUCUUUCUGUCAAAGAGUACAGCAAAAUUUGACUCUACCUGGGACUGCUCUGGCACCAUGGAGGACAAAUGCGGUUUAUGCAAAACCUUUGAACGCAGUAGCUUCAGGCCCCAUGCAGCCAUCCAGGUGUGAAGUAUGCACAGAGCAGGGAACGUAUUGAAUGUAUGUACGAAGUUGUGGAAAAGGUUCACGAUGCCAUAACCAUCAAGUAUUAAAUCUCAAAAAGAAACAGGCAAAUUCUGCUUCCAACUAAUUCUCAUGUAAACUUGUAGUGUUAGGUAGAUGAUACUCAUUUCUUGGUUUAUGAGCACCAGAGAGGCAUGUCAUAAAAGGGAGAAUGAUAUGAUUAAAAUUAAUGUAAAAUAUCAUAGGAAGCAUAGCUUUCAAGUUUCUUUUGUCCAAUACAGAGACUUCUAGAACCAGCCAGAAUAACAACCUCAGAGCUUAUUGAUUUCCACUGUAAUGACACACAGAAAUUAAUGCUCCUGGACUUUUCAAGAAAACUAGAUUUUUCUUGAAUGACAGAACUGUAAUUGAUCACUAACCAGCUUCAGCAUCGGAACAAACACUUAGCUGAAUCACUCAGCUGCUCCAGGUUCAUUUCUUGGUGUGCUAUCAUCUUAUGCAAUAAACACAAUAAAUGAAAUACGGAAUUACUCUAA
RNAcentral lists this long non-coding RNA (1158 nucleotides) under Anas platyrhynchos platyrhynchos (common mallard). RNAcentral's name for it is "lncRNA (ENSAPLG00000016855.1)". Lineage: Eukaryota; Metazoa; Chordata; Aves; Anseriformes; Anatidae. The record is from RNAcentral.